AUCCAGCUGACGAGUCCCAAAUAGGAUGAAACGCGCAUGCUGGAU
Non-coding RNA from Schistosoma rodhaini, 45 nucleotides. NCBI's taxonomy places the organism in Eukaryota, Metazoa, Platyhelminthes, Trematoda, Strigeidida, Schistosomatidae. The record is from Rfam.